Molecule: long non-coding RNA, 332 nt
Organism: Solanum verrucosum
Lineage: Eukaryota; Viridiplantae; Streptophyta; Magnoliopsida; Solanales; Solanaceae
Exons: 3
Source: RefSeq, a predicted model, not a curated record
AAAAAAUACGAAAAAGGAAUCUGGGACAUUUAAGUUGGGCUUCUCCUACUUGGAUGAUUAUUUAGGUGCGCAUCGUAUUGUGCUCGGGUGUUGCAGUUUUCGUAACUGAGAUUUUGGAGAAGCUGGAGAAAGUAAUAAGCAAAAACUGAUUACGGAUAGUGAUCCAUGAUGAAAAGAGCUAUGGCUAGAAGGCCUGGUGCUUGCCUCAAGUUGAGCACAUUGAAGCGCCAAAUCCACUAUUUUCAGGGCCUUCCAUUGUUCUUCUACAUUCCAGAGCCUAAUUUCUUCAUCAAGAAAACUAAGGAAAUUGUUGCUUCUCUGCAAGUUUUUCC